GUAAAUCAGUAAUGAAGCACUCCCAAACAUCAGAAUGCUGAUUAUGGAUCGCAUCAUCAAAUGGCAUAGGCGUGCUAGUGAAAGUAAUGCCCGUGAUGGGAAUAAAUGAGAGAGGGGAAAGUGCCAGCUCACCAACCAGAGUGCCGAAGGUAUGAGUAGUGUUCAUCCACCUUUUGAGCAAGGCAUAGAUAGAGGUAUGGUAUGUCCUCCUAGUGACUUAAGGAAGUUUAGCUACAAACCCUCGAAAGCCGAUAUUGCCAAUCGUAGCCUGGACAGAGCUAGGGAGCUCAUAAAACCAUUCAUGAGCUCGAUAAAACCUUUUCAAUACAACAUCACCCUGAAAAGCUAGACGCAUAGGUAUUAAACAUAAUUUAUGCAUGAAAAGACUAUAAAUAGGUAAGUAUAUGUCUAUUUGUUGGUUAUUUUGUGCAACAAUGCCAUAAAAAUGUUGUUCUGCCCAUGCAUGGUCAAUUUAGACUAUGUAGAGCCGAUCGGUGUGAGCCACUCGGCAAGCACGGACCCGUUGGCCAGGACCCUUAGCCCCCUAGUGCACGUAUUGGCCGGAGUCGUCCUCAAGUAAACCUCCCUUAGGCGAGCAUCCUCACAGACGUGGGCUCGUUGGCCAAGAACUCUCGCAGCCUAGCGCGCGCAUUGGCUAGAACUCUCGCAGGUGCAGGCCCAUUGGCAGUGGAUCCUCGCAGCUCCAUCGUGCGUUGGGUGUGCCAGCCCGCGAGGGCAAGAAUCCUCUGCUGUGAACCUCUUUUGGUGAGAAAUCAGCUGCAGUGUACCUCUGUUGGCUAGUUUUCAGGCCUGUGCUGCGGCACUUUGCCACCACCACAUUUAAUGCCUCGGGAAGAGUUAUCUUUUCUAUUUAACAGCCCGCCUACCUUGGAAACGACUCAGUCGGAGGUAGGGUCUAGCGGCUGGAAGAGCACCGCACGUCGCAUGGUGUCUGGUGGGCCCCCAGCAGCCCAUGAAAAUCUAGAGGACCGAGUGCUAUCCACGCCCAGUCGUACUCAUAACUAUAUCAAGUUUCUAGGGUUAACAGCCUCUGGUCGAUAGAACAAUGUAGGCAAGGGAAGUCGACAAAAUGGAUCCAUAACCUCGGGAAAAGGAUUGGCUCUAAGGGCUGUGCCCGAGGGUCCCAAUCUUGAACCUGUCGCUUGUCGGCGGACUGCUCGAGCUGCUCUCAAGGCGAGAGUGGGUCGACGCGUGUCGGCCGGGGAACGGACUGGGAACAGCCUCUUCAGAGGCCUUCCCUAGGCGUUGAACAAUCGACUGAGAACUAGUACGGACAAGGGGAAUCUGACUGUUUAAUUAAAACAAAGCAUUGCGCGGAUGCUCACGCAAUGUGAUUUCUGCCCAGUGCUCUGAAUGUCAAAGUGAAGAAAUUCAACCAAGCACGGGUAAACAACGGGAGUAACUAUGACUCUCUUAAGGUAGCCAAAUGCCUCGUCAUCUAAUUAGUGAUGCGCAUGAAUGGAUUAACGAGAUUCCCACUGUCCCUGUCUACUAUCCAGCGAAACCACAGACAAGGGAACGGGCUUGGGGGAAUCAGUAAGGAAAGAAGACCCUGUUGAGCUUAACUCUAGUCCGACUUUGUGAAAUUACUUAAGAGAUGUAGGAUAAGUGGGAGCCUUAACCGGCGAUGUGAAAUACCACUACUUUUAACAUUAUUUUACUUAUUCCAUGAAUCAAAAGUGGGGCUACGACCCUCUUUUUGGACCCAAGUUUGGCUGGGGCGGCAUAUCUGUUAAAAGAUAACGCAAGUGUCCUAAGAUGAGCUCAACGAGAAUAGAAAUCUCGUGUGGAACAAAAGGGUAAAAGCUCGUUUAAUUCUAGUUUCCAGUAUGAAUACAAACCACAAAAGCAUAGCUUAUUGAUCCUUUAGACCUUUAGAAUUUGAAAAUAGAGGUGUCAGAAAAGUUACCACAGGGAUAACUGGCUUGUUCUAGCCAAGCGUUCAUAGCAAUGUUGCUUUUUUAUCCUUCGAUGUUGGCUCUUCCUAUCAUUGUGAAGCAGAAUUCACCAAGUGUUGGAUUGUUCACCCACCAAUAGGGAAUAUGAGCUAGGUUUAGACAGUUAUGAGACAGGUUAGUUUUACCCUACUGAUGAUUGUGUUGCAAUGCUAAUUCAACCUAGUACGAGAGGAACAGUUGAUUCGCAUAACUAGUCAUUGCGCUUGGUUGAAAAACCAGUGGUGUGAAGCUACUGUGCGCUGGAUUAUGACUGAACGGCUCUAAGUCAGAAUCUGGGCCAGAAUCGACGCAUCGUCCAUUGCUCAUUUGCCAACUAGCAGUAGGGGCCCUCCGGCCCCCAAAAAGCAUGUUUCAUUGGCUAAGCCCUCACGGUGGAUGAGCCGCGCAGGCCGCCUUGAAUUACAAUUUCCAUCGGGCGGUGGACUUAAUCCUUUGCAGAAGACUUAAAUAUGCGAUAGGGUAUUGUAAGUGGCAGAGUGGCCUUGCUAUCACGAUCCAUUGAGAUUUAGCCCU
RNAcentral lists this ribosomal RNA (2492 nucleotides) under Ricinus communis (castor bean). RNAcentral describes it as "eukaryotic LSU rRNA". It matches the Rfam family "Eukaryotic large subunit ribosomal RNA". Lineage: Eukaryota; Viridiplantae; Streptophyta; Magnoliopsida; Malpighiales; Euphorbiaceae. The record is from RNAcentral.